RNAcentral lists this ribosomal RNA (533 nucleotides) under uncultured Planococcus sp. Its description in RNAcentral is "bacterial SSU rRNA". It matches the Rfam family "Bacterial small subunit ribosomal RNA", at positions 89 to 619 of the family's 1533-position model. Lineage: Bacteria; Bacillati; Bacillota; Bacilli; Caryophanales; Caryophanaceae. The record is from RNAcentral.
AACUUAGCGGCGGACGGGUGAGUAAUACUUAGGAAUCUGCCUAUUAGUGGGGGACAACAGUUGGAAACGACUGCUAAUACCGCAUACGCCCUACGGGGGAAAGCAGGGGAUCUUCGGACCUUGCGCUAAUAGAUGAGCCUAAGUCAGAUUAGCUAGUUGGUGGGGUAAUGGCCUACCAAGGCGACGAUGCGUAGCCGACCUGAGAGGGUGAUCGGCCACACUGGGACUGAGACACGGCCCAGACUCCUACGGGAGGCAGCAGUAGGGAAUCUUCCGCAAUGGACGAAAGUCUGACGGAGCAACGCCGCGUGAGUGACGAAGGUUUUCGGAUCGUAAAACUCUGUUGUGAGGGAAGAACACGUACCAGCUAACUACUGGUACCUUGACGGUACCUCACCAGAAAGCCACGGCUAACUACGUGCCAGCAGCCGCGGUAAUACGUAGGUGGCAAGCGUUGUCCGGAAUUAUUGGGCGUAAAGCGCGCGCAGGCGGUCCUUUAAGUCUGAUGUGAAAGCCCACGGCUCAACCGUGGA